GCCUUUGCUAAUGCUAGAUCAUACAUUCAUAGAAUCCUGAGUUGGAAGGGGCUCAUAAGGACUGUUGAGUCCAAGUCCUGGCUCCACGCAGGACCACCCAAAAUUUAAACUGUAAUUCUGAGAUAUUUGCAGCUUUGCUUCAGCACUAGAAUAUUACUUUCAUAUUUAUGCUCUCUUUUCUCAUUUUUCAACAGUUCUAAUGUACAGCACUUCCACCAUGCCUUAGGUUCUAGAUUUGGAUUGCUUUUUUCUUAACAUGAGAUGUAAUUUGCCUAAAGCUGUGUAUGAUCUUUGACUUGGCGAAGUUUUUGGCAGAUUCUCCUGUGAGUCGGUGGAUUUGGUUUCUACAGAGCUCAGCCACCUGCACCAGUCAGU
RNAcentral lists this long non-coding RNA (375 nucleotides) under Numida meleagris (helmeted guineafowl). RNAcentral describes it as "lncRNA (ENSNMEG00000002834.1)". Lineage: Eukaryota; Metazoa; Chordata; Aves; Galliformes; Numididae. The record is from RNAcentral.